UCCCGAGUACUGAUGUUGCCCAAGGUCAU
This 29-nucleotide small RNA is filed under the name Bombyx mori (domestic silkworm). RNAcentral's name for it is "ovarian small RNA-2044". Lineage: Eukaryota; Metazoa; Arthropoda; Insecta; Lepidoptera; Bombycidae. The record is from RNAcentral.